RNAcentral lists this ribosomal RNA (163 nucleotides) under uncultured bacterium. RNAcentral describes it as "partial 16S rRNA". It matches the Rfam family "Bacterial small subunit ribosomal RNA", at positions 355 to 511 of the family's 1533-position model. The record is from RNAcentral.
UGGGGAAUAUUGGACAAUGGGCGAAAGCCUGAUCCAGCCAUGCCGCGUGUGUGAAGAAGGUCUUCGGAUUGUAAGCACUUUAAGUUGGGAGGAAGGGCAGUAAGUUAAUACCUUGCUGUUUUGACGUUACCGACAGAAUAAGCACCGGCUAACUCUGUGCCAG